CUUCACAAGAUUGCUUCGCCCCUGUUCAAGCAAAGAGAGAGAAAAGAAAAAGAAAUUGUGAGUUUUUAAAAUUGAUGGUUGGUUUGUGGCCUUGGAGGUUUUCCUUAUCUCUGCCCCAACUUGAUACAGUUGAUUCAACUAAUUGGUUGGCGAGCUUGAAUCUUUGUCUUUCAAAUUCUGUCGUAUCUCUGUUUGUUUCAGUACGAUUUUGCUCUUUCCUUUUCAAAUGCUUCAUUCGUAACACUUAUCUUAACUGGCUCCCUGUCCUUGUCAAGGUGGUGACCGCCCAACAAUCACUGCUCAAUUUCACUGGGAGCCGUGGUCAAUUUUGCGCGUUUUUCUUUAUUUUGCAUUUGAUGCAAGACUUACACAUAAAAACAGAGCGUGUAAAAAAUGAAAUAAGGAAAAAUCAAAAGAAGGAAUAAAAGAAUUAUGUUUGAAUAGGAAGUAUUUAUACCAGUAAAGUAAGAAAGUUUAUUUGGGGGUGUAUAUUGACUUUAAUAACGCAUGACAUACAAUUUGGAGUAGACAUUUGACCCUUCAAAACUGUCUAAUCCCGAAUUAGGCUGCACCUUUCAAUCAAAUCAAAUCGUCCUUCUUGAUCUUUG
Molecule: long non-coding RNA, 608 nt
Filed under: Capsicum annuum
Lineage: Eukaryota; Viridiplantae; Streptophyta; Magnoliopsida; Solanales; Solanaceae
Description: long non-coding RNA (CANN_LNC013597)
Source: RNAcentral